CCCUUAGAUGUCCUGGGCCGCACGCGCGCUACACUGAUGCAUUCAACGAGUAUUUCCUUGGCCGAGAGGCCUGGGCAAUCUUUUAAACCUGCAUCGUGAUAGGGAUAGAUUAUUGCAAUUAUUAAUCUUGAACGAGGAAUUCCUAGUAAACGCAAAUCAUCAAUUUGCAUUGAUUACGUCCCUGCCCUUUGUACACACCGCCCGUCGCACCUACCGAUUGAAUGGUCCGGUGAAAUCUCGGGAUUGUGGCCAGUUCACUUUAUUGGGAGUUGGCUGCGAGAACUUGCUUAAACCUUACCAUUUAGAGGAAGGUGAAGUCGUAACA
This 325-nucleotide ribosomal RNA is filed under the name uncultured eukaryote. Its description in RNAcentral is "partial 18S ribosomal RNA". It matches the Rfam family "Eukaryotic small subunit ribosomal RNA", at positions 1470 to 1796 of the family's 1831-position model. The record is from RNAcentral.